GGAGGUGAAGGCGAUCUGGCUGCGACAUCUGUCACCCAUUGAUUGCCAGGGUUGAUUCAGCUGAUCUGGCUUGGCUAGGCGGGUGUCUCCUUCCUCCCUCACCGCUCCAUGUGCGUCCCUCCCGAAGCUGCGUGCUGGGUCGAAGUGGACGACCAUCCCUGAUAGAGGAAGACCGAUCUUUGGUCAAGGGUAUACGAGUAGCUGCUCCCCUUCUGGAACCUCUAGACAAGAUCUUAAGAUUUAUACCACAAAUAUAUAUAACAAAGCACAUAAGUUUACAAGGCACACAGUUCAACUGUAGCAUUAUGAGAAAUAAUACAGGGAGU
Unclassified non-coding RNA from Dipodomys ordii (Ord's kangaroo rat), 326 nucleotides. Its record names the gene 7SK. It matches the Rfam family "7SK RNA". Rfam says of the family: 7SK was discovered as an abundant small nuclear RNA in the mid-70s but a possible function has only recently been suggested. Two independent studies have found that 7SK RNA binds the CDK9/cyclin T complex (known as elongation factor P-TEFb). P-TEFb activates transcription by phosphorylating the C-terminal domain of RNA polymerase II. Lineage: Eukaryota; Metazoa; Chordata; Mammalia; Rodentia; Heteromyidae. The record is from Ensembl.